GAGUUAUACCUUUUACUGUCUGGAGUUUACUCUAUCAACGUGUGGCAGCCUUUAUGGUGGAAGCAUUCGCCUUUGAUGUGCAAAAGGUUGAGAAGCAGGCUUGGUUUGGAAACUGCUCUACAGUGUCCAAUGGGUGGCUCAAGAAGGGAGACAUUUGGAUGUCCUCAGUCUCCUGACGUCUGGUCACUUCAACACAAUGUGUCAUUGGUGCGUACAGUGAGGUUGUCCACCUCUGGGUCUUCAUCUGUUGCAAAAGAUUUCCUCAUUUGGCUGGUUUGGAAGGACCGAGUGUCAGCAUUACAGGAAAGGCACAGAUGGCUGAAAGCUGGUUAAUGACACAAGUGUCUAUAUGCAUUAAUCAGUGUCAUAGUUGAAUAGGGCAUAUACAUACUCAAUCCAACACACACACACGUGUGAGCACAACAGAUAAACAGGAUAUCUGACAAGGAAGAGCAGAAGGGGUUUUACUUAAUUUCUUUACCAGAGGCAGAUGAAAUACAACACAAGUA
Xyrauchen texanus (razorback sucker) is the source of this 509-nucleotide long non-coding RNA. RefSeq lists it as uncharacterized. The transcript has 3 exons. The record is from RefSeq and is a predicted model, not a curated record. Lineage: Eukaryota; Metazoa; Chordata; Actinopteri; Cypriniformes; Catostomidae.